Molecule: long non-coding RNA, 307 nt
Filed under: Gossypium barbadense (sea-island cotton)
Lineage: Eukaryota; Viridiplantae; Streptophyta; Magnoliopsida; Malvales; Malvaceae
Description: long non-coding RNA (GBAR_LNC014962)
Source: RNAcentral
UGGGGCUAACUGCAGGUUUCUGACAUACCUGGGGAUGUCAUAGGGGCUCAGUGUUUUUUUCUCUUUCUUUUGUCCUUCACUUGGCUCUCCCUCAAUUAAUGCCGGCUACCCAGAAAGCUAAGGUAUCACUUCCUUUGUAUAUGUGUAUGUCUAUUCCACCUGCUAUCUUCCUUUUCUUGUGUCUUUUCCUUUUACAACUUUACUUUGUCUUCACUCUUCACUCACCCUCCUCCUGCAAUUUUUUUUCCCCUUUUGCCAUGUGACUGGCAAAUGGCAAUAGCAUCUUCUAACUUGUUCUUGUUCUUCU